CCACGCACACACACACACACACACACACACACACACACAGAGGAAACAAAGACUCACUUCCAUGGACACACAGUCGGUGGGAACAAUAGAUGUAGAGGGGACACCUGCUGGUCUAACACACCCCGUCCUCCUCCCUCCAUCCUUUCUAUUAAGAUUCUCUGUGGGUAGUUUAGCCAUGCAUGUCGUGGUGAGAUCCAGUGAAUGAUAAUGAACUGGGCAAAGUGGAGAGUUUUUGUGUGUGAAUGGACCGAGAAGAGGAGGAGGCUUGUUGAAUCAGUCCUUCCAUCCCCAGCAUUCCAUCCAUCCAUCCGGUCCUCCUCCGUUACCUCACCGCUUCUUCCUCCUCCUCCUCUUCCUCCUCCUUGUCGGCGGUGUGUCGGCUGGAGGGACGGCCCCCGUGCUCUGACACAACUCACACACGCAGACACACACCUCCGCGAUGUGUCACUACCCAUUCCACCUGCCUCUUCCCGUCAUUCCCCGCUCGCCGCUCCGACUGCCCACACUUGCUGCACUUCCCUCCCUCGGUUUUUAACCCUUAUUUAUUCAUUGCAUUUAUUCUGUCCCGAGACCUUCCUUUCACUCCUCCGUGCCCUCCAUCACCCCCAUCAUCACGCCACCACCACACACACUACACACGCCAUGUGUCACCACCACAGAGAAGAAAGAAACAUUCUCCAGUCGACAAGUGGAAGAGACGAAGAGGAAGAAGACAGCAAAGUGUGGAGCGCGUGUGGAGCCCGGCGACACCACUGUCCGCCUCCAGCCGGAGCCUCCUUUGAUGGAAUAUCCCGGACGGCGGCGCGCGGAAGGAGGGAGCAGAAGGAAGGAGAGGAGAGGAGAAGAUUAACGGGGCUGAGAAAACGGGACAGGCAGCGAUCGCCUCGAGAGGCUCCAUCGAGUCCAGCCUCACACACAAACACGCACGCAUACACCCCCCCACACACUUUGCUGUGGAGCGUGCACGUGUGUGGGCACUCACCACAAGUGCAUGUGUGAGUGUGAGGAUUCAGCCAGUUGGACAGACGCAGCGGCGGCUCGGAGGUCCUUGUGGAUGCGGCGCGUCAGGUAGACCAUGCCCUUCACUUGUGCCUGCUUCUGUGGUCUGAAUGGCUUCUGUCGAAAGAAGAAAAAACGGGACCAAGUGUCAGAAGAGGAGAUUGAUGAAGACGGGCAUCACCGGGAUGAGGAAACGGUGGUGUGACGGCAGCACUGUUGGCUGAACUCUCUCCAACUUUAAAACACUGUAACAUAAGACCAAGGUUACAGGUUCUCUCCGUAUCAGGUGUCUGGGAAUGUUCCCAUAGUGGAAGUGAAGGGGUUUCAGGUUUCAAAUACAUAUUUUUAUUCAGGUGUUUCAUGGAAAAGAUUUCGUGUUCUACUUCUUUUUCUACUCUUACAAACCAAAAGGCCAUCCAAAUUUCUUCUCAUGAUAAGACUGAUGAAAAUGCAAGCCUCUGAACUCUUUGCUCAUCCUCCAUUCCCCAAACCUGCUAUGCUCUAAUUUUCCCUGGGCAGCUGACAGAGAACUUGGCUUUUGCUGAUAAUAUUCAAAAGAUAAAAAAAAAAAAAAAAAGGUCUGAUUCAUUUCUUGCCAGUGUGCGAAAAGACAAAGGUCUCUUAAAAUCCAUUAUUCUGUUCAGGCAUACCUCUCCUCGAUGCCCCGUCUUUCCCAUCUCUACCUUAAUUGCGCCUCCUCUGCGGAGGCUGGAUUGGAACCGAAGCUCCGUGGAGCUCUGCACCUUCUCACCUGCUUACUUACGUCGGAUCGACUUAGCGAAAACUUCAGCCAAGUAAGAAAGUGUAGAGCAAUUUCCAGAGUCGCCCGCUGAGGGGCCCCGAGCCCAUCUCGGAUUUUCACGCUGAGCUGACCCCGAUCUAAAGCCAAAGCAGCUGUCCAAUCAGUGGCUUAGCUGGAGUGUGAAGAAGGGAGUCAAGGGUCAGAAUGAGAAACGGGGGCUUGGGGAACAUCACUCCCCUGGUGCUGCCACUUCUCUAAUAUCCGGACGAGUAAUUACCGAGAGGAACACCCACAAAUGCUGAUGCUUCAAUUAAUGUACGUCCCUGUGGGAGUCAAGUCUCUCCCCGCAAAUGCCACCACAAUGCACUUCCAGCUGUCACCUGUUAGAGGGCAGGGCAACGCAAGCAUGCUAGGGUGCUCAUGUUUUUUCUUGGCUGCCACAAUGGUGCUUUCAAAGUAGAAACAAGUGGUUGACAUAUCUUCUGCCGCCAUGCCGCAGGCUUUCCCGGGCGCAUCCGGACGCCCAAAGACAAAAGGCCAGCGCACUGGUCUCAUUAGCAUGCGUGAUUAUGCAUUGCACGUCCAGUCAGGCGGUGGAGAUGUAAUUAACCUUUUCCAGCAGGAAACAGAUGCCUGGAUGUCACACACACACACACCCCAACACACACGUCUGCUGUCAGGGAAACAAAGCCGACGUCACGGUGUCACGGAAACAAAGCCCCGAAUGCGCCGCCUGGCACUUUCUGAUAAUCCCCUCACGCAUAUUUACAUUCAUGGCUUAGAAUACGCCUCGGUGACACCGCCUCCGCCCUCUUACCCCCUUUCCUCUGUUGUCAGCCACCGACCCAAGUCACACCUUUUCCGUUCUUUUCGCCUCAACCGGCCCCUAGUAGUCUCAUCCCUGCUAUCUUCCUCUUUUUCAUCAUCUCUCCUUAAACUUUCUCCUUGGUCGAAUUCAUCCGUUUAUUAUCAGUGGAUGGUACAUGGCCGUGCAUGGCAGCUCCCGUAGAUUAGCCCCCACUCUUGCAUUCCCAUAUCAGGGAUUUCUUCAGGCGGGUAAGAAAGUGAAGAAAGAAGCUGCUUUACGACAGAUUAAUGGACGGCCCUGAUUGCGCCUGUUGGUGUGGCUCUGCGCCUGAGCUGAAUCGACUGUUUACUCGUUCUCCCGCCGCUACGAGCGGCGAAAUGAAACAAAGCAAAAGCCAUUUCACAGUGUAGAGCACCUAUUAUGAUUCAGUGUGUUACGGCGCAGCCCUAAUGAGAAAGAGAGAAAACGAGAGGAGGAGCAGGAGGAGAGGAAGAGACGAUAAUGAAAGUGAGUUGGGAGGGGGGGCAAACGCUAGACAGAGCAGUCAUGCUAAUUGGCUAGAGUGGAUAACUUUCUUUGGCGAAAACGAAGGUGUGUGGUUAAAAGAACGGCCUUAUCUGUCUACAUUGCUCUCAUUUAACGAUCCCUCCAUUUCACCUCUUUUAAUGAGAGGAAUAUUCACCGAGGUAAUGGCACAGAACUCGGAGUUGACGGCAAUUUCUUGCUCACGCACGCCACGCUCCGAGACGGGAUCUGAGGCAAGGCGCUCUCCUUGCCCCAGCCUCCUGCUAUGGAUCAUGACAAUUUUCAGGGAUUGUAACUCAAGGACAAACAGCUAAAAAUAGAAGGGUGGUGCACGACUCCUGCGGUAGCGGCGAAGGGAGGAGGUGAGUACAGGGAAGGACGGGGGAGGGGGGACCGCGAAAAUUACUCCUGUCGCAUUAGAUUUGGGUCAGAGGCGAGGGAAAAGCCGGCGAAGCGGAGAGCGUUCCAGACGGCUGGGAGAUUCAUCGCCCGCCGCUCCGUGCUUCUCUCCUCUUUUAACACCUUGCCUUUAUCCUGCACAGACAGCGGCGGAGGGCUGGGACGCCGGGCGAGUUUCACGGAAUGGACGGGGAAGGCAUUGCAAAACAUUUGAAAGAACAACAAUAAAAAGAUACAAGGAUUAGUACCAGGUUAGACAAGGAGGAUAGAAAGGUUAGUGUGUUGUAGGGUGCACCUUGCUUGGAUCAUACCAUUCAAUUUAUGGCCUCCUGUUGCAUUAUUCACAUGAUCCCAGGUCCUGGAAAAAAUACAAUAAAACCCACCAUGUUAAAAAUCAAAAACAAAAUUCCAUCUACGCGGAGCAGACACAAUGUGUCAUCACAGUUUAUUAUGUAAAUAGGACACACACAGCAAAAGAAAAACUCUAGUUGUCCACUACUUUGGAAAUGGCUUGUAAACGGGGUACAAGGACGGACUGUUUUUGGUCCCAUAAUGGCAGAGCGACAUUUGACCGGCUCUGUUGGAGGCAGAUCAUGUAUAGAUGGCAAUUGGGAGAUAUUUGGUGGAGAAAAAGCUGAAAAAACAAAUGUUAUCCAGGUUCCAACAUUUAAGCCCCUUUUGCACUGCCCAGCCAGACCCGGGCUGAUCCGGGCCGGUAUGGCUUAAAAGCAGGGCUGAUCGUUUUUGCAUUAGCACUUCCAGCCCGGUACCACCUGGCUCCCUGGAACCCCUAGAGCUGCGGUUGAAAUUGCGCCGGCCAGACCGGGCUGGUUUGGAGUUAGCUGUUGAUUGGUUCAUUGGCUGCGCGGGCCGGACAAAGAUCAGAUUUCUGGGUCAGAGGAGCACUAGACUUUCUCGAUGUCUGUCAUUUCAAUGUGCUGCAUCAAUAAAUUCCCGUCAUAAUCUAUUCUUACCCCACACUGGGAUUACAAUCACCUCUUCAGCCAAAGAUUUGAAUGUUAAAUGUAAACAACACUUCUCCAAUUGAACUGAUGAGAAGUUGGUAACGAUGUGGACGAGGGGAUUUCCGCGUCUGGGUUGCUCUAGCGGGGAAAUCCCACCAGUUCUGCUGGCCGCAAGUCCAGCUCUGAGACGACAUUCAGAUGAUAUUUUUAUUUAUUUUUUUCCGUUAAAUGUAAAGCUGAGGUAAAUGUUUCCGUCAACUUCCUCACUCAUGAACGCAUUCAGAAAGAGCGGGACGGGAGAACCAAGAAGGAAACUUGAUCGCCUCGGUAGCUUUAGCAAGAAUUUGAUUUACGUGACGUAUCCAGCUCAAUGCGAAACGACCAGAGCUAUGCUGUUCGAACGGAGCCGGCCUGGGCAAAAAGGGCUUUAGUUAUCUGUGGAAAAGCUCAAGAAUUUGUUGGAACCCUAUGUUAAGCAAAACAUAGUCCCCCAUGUGGUUGGGGACUGUAUGGCAAAAAGGAUCUUUCUGUGGUUUUGCCUACAGGUUCCAUAAGAUCUUGGUGGUUUUUACUCACUGGUGUGUGACACAGGGCAGGUAUGAGUGCUAAUAAGGUCCAUCUCCAUAAAAUGGGUUUCCUGCCCAUUUGGUUUUCAUGUAUAAUUCUGGACAGAUAGUCGGUCUCAACUGGAAACAAGAUGCACACAAUUUAUCUGGGUCCCAUUUUUAACUCAUGAGUUGAAAAAAAAAAUUGUGUAUCUUUAACUUUAAUAACUUGCUUUUCAUCUUCUAUGUCUCACACAAUGAGUUAAAGAAGUAAAUACCAAAACUGUUAAUGAUAGUGCCUUAGCUGACAGGAAUCAAAUUGCUUAAAUGGAUAAUUCAGGACCAGUAAUAGUGAACAAACACCAUUCAUUUACCUACAGGAGCUAACUCUCUUAGCAGUUUUUUUUUCCCUAAGGCUAAUGUUUAGGAAAACCUCAACCAACUAUUGUGACUAUUCCUUUAAUAAAACACUUACCUAAAUUGCCAGACUUCAAUGCAAAACUCAAAUGGUUAGAUUGCCUUGUUGACUGAAAACCAACUGUUUAAAUGGAUUGUUAUGUUUUCUUUUUAACUGGGGAUGUGAGCAGUUCAUAUGGUGGAAAAGAUUUUCUUAACUUCCUGUUUUAGAAAUGCACUGUUUUUCUGAGAAUUAAAAAAAUAAAAUAAUGACAUGCCAAGACCAAA
Xiphophorus hellerii (green swordtail) is the source of this 5667-nucleotide long non-coding RNA. RefSeq lists it as uncharacterized. The transcript is spliced from 3 exons. NCBI's taxonomy places the organism in Eukaryota, Metazoa, Chordata, Actinopteri, Cyprinodontiformes, Poeciliidae. The record is from RefSeq and is a predicted model, not a curated record.